GAGUUUGUUAUAUGCUUUUAGUAUUUGUCCAGUAGGUUUCCUUAAGGAGAGAAGCCCCA
Molecule: small nuclear RNA, 59 nt
Filed under: Salmo salar (Atlantic salmon)
Lineage: Eukaryota; Metazoa; Chordata; Actinopteri; Salmoniformes; Salmonidae
Description: U7 small nuclear RNA (ENSSSAG00000075286.2, ENSSSAG00020084182.1, ENSSSAG00070045088.1, ENSSSAG00075067486.1)
Rfam family: U7 small nuclear RNA (bases 15-59)
About the family: Animal histone pre-mRNAs are spliced by a different mechanism than nuclear pre-mRNAs and self-splicing introns. This processing involves the U7 snRNP, which contains only one RNA species: U7.
Source: Rfam by way of RNAcentral